RNAcentral lists this ribosomal RNA (422 nucleotides) under uncultured eukaryote. RNAcentral describes it as "bacterial SSU rRNA". It matches the Rfam family "Eukaryotic small subunit ribosomal RNA", at positions 592 to 1018 of the family's 1831-position model. The record is from RNAcentral.
CAAUAGCGUAUAUUUAAGUUGUUGCAGUUAAAAAGCUCGUAGUUGGAUUUCGGAUGUGAACGACCGGUCCGCCGUUGCGGUGUGCACUGGACGUUCGUAUCUUGUUGUCGGGGACGCGCUCCUGGCCUUAACUGGUCGGGACGCGGAGUCGGCGCUGUUACUUUGAAAAAUUAGAGUGUUUAAAGCAGGCAUUUGCUAUGAAUACAUUAGCAUGGAAUAAUAAUCUAGGACUUCGGUUCUAUUUUGUUGGUUUCUUAGAUCUGAAGUAAUGAUUGAUAGGGAUAGUUGGGGGUGCUAGUAUUAAGGGGCCAGAGGUGAAAUUCUUGGAUUCUCUUAAGACUAACUUAUGCGAAAGCAUUCACCAAGGAUGUCUUCUUUAAUCAAGAACGAAAGUUGGGGGAUCGAAGACGAUCAGAUACCAU